This 298-nucleotide unclassified non-coding RNA is filed under the name Symmetrospora coprosmae. RNAcentral describes it as "partial contains 5.8S ribosomal RNA, internal transcribed spacer 2, and large subunit ribosomal RNA". The record is from RNAcentral. Lineage: Eukaryota; Fungi; Basidiomycota; Cystobasidiomycetes; Symmetrosporaceae.
CGCACCUUGCACUCUUUGGUAUUCCGAAGAGUAUGUCUGUUUGAGUGUCAUGAAACUCUCAACCCCCUCAUUUUGUAAUGAAAAGAGUUGUGGGCUUGGAUUAUGGCUGUCUGUCGGCUUCAUUGCCGGCUCAGCUGAAAUAUACGAGCAACCCAGUUUGAAAAUCUGACGGCUUGACUCGGCGUAAUAAUUAUUAUCGCUGAGGACGUCUAACCUUCAAAGCGUUAGUGGUGCUUCUAAUGCAAAUCAAUUUUAAGAUUUAGACCUCAAAUCAGUCAGGAUUACCCGCUGAACUUAA